This 292-nucleotide ribosomal RNA is filed under the name uncultured bacterium. RNAcentral's name for it is "partial 16S ribosomal RNA". It matches the Rfam family "Bacterial small subunit ribosomal RNA", at positions 505 to 796 of the family's 1533-position model. The record is from RNAcentral.
GUGUCAGCAGCCGCGGUAAUACGUAGGGUCCGAGCGUUAAUCGGAAUUACUGGGCGUAAAGCGUGCGCAGGCGGUUUUGUAAGCCAGAUGUGAAAGCCCCGGGCUUAACCUGGGAAUGGCAUUUGGGACUGCAAGGCUGGAGUACGGCAGAGGGAGGUGGAAUUCCAGGUGUAGCAGUGAAAUGCGUAGAUAUCUGGAGGAACACCGAUGGCGAAGGCAGCCUCCUGGGCUAGUACUGACGCUCAUGCACGAAAGCGUGGGGAGCAAACAGGAUUAGAUACCCCCGUAGUCC